GUGGGGAAUAUUGGACAAUGGGCGCAAGCCUGAUCCAGCAAUGCCGCGUGUGUGAAGAAGGUCUUAGGAUUGUAAAGCACUUUCGACGGGGACGAUAAUGACGGUACCCGUAGAAGAAGCCCCGGCUAACUUCGUGCCAGCAGCCGCGGUAAUACGAAGGGGGCUAGCGUUGCUCGGAAUGACUGGGCGUAAAGGGCGCGUAGGCGGCUGUUCAAGUCAGAUGUGAAAAUCCUGGGCUCAACCUGGGGACUGCAUUUGAUACUGGACGGCUAGAGUUCGGAAGAGGGUAGUGGAAUUUCCAGUGUAGAGGUGAAAUUCGUAGAUAUUGGAAAGAACACCGGUGGCGAAGGCGGCUACCUGGUCCGACACUGACGCUGAGGCGCGAAAGCGUGGGGAGCAAACAGG
Molecule: ribosomal RNA, 405 nt
Filed under: uncultured Acetobacteraceae bacterium
Lineage: Bacteria; Pseudomonadati; Pseudomonadota; Alphaproteobacteria; Acetobacterales; Acetobacteraceae
Description: bacterial SSU rRNA
Rfam family: Bacterial small subunit ribosomal RNA
Source: RNAcentral